Molecule: long non-coding RNA, 650 nt
Organism: Rana temporaria (common frog)
Lineage: Eukaryota; Metazoa; Chordata; Amphibia; Anura; Ranidae
Exons: 4
Source: RefSeq, a predicted model, not a curated record
AGAAUUAAUGGCCAAAAUACAAGUAGUUAUAACAAUUGGAGAUGGGGGAGGGUGCACCUUACUUCUCCUUUCUGCAUGUUUGCAGAAAACCGUAGAUGAGUUAGCAGAAGUAGCACAGGAAGUUUGGGCGGAGGAUGGGCUAGAUAUAGGAUAGCAACAUCACAUAUUGUGCGCAGAUCACUCUGACGGGAACUGAUAAAAGAUAAGCACAGAAUGUUGUAUAACGUACAAUAUCCAAGGUGAAAGGAGGAGGAAAAAGAGAGCACACAUCACCGGAACACACAAAGAGGAUUAUAGAGCAGUAACUAUCUGGAGAUCCAUUAACACCCAGCAGCCGUCUUCACAGGACGUCACCCAUCACAGUGCCUCCACCUCACUGUCUGACAACAGAGGUAUUUAGAAGGACACGAGGAUCAAUACAAGGACGUCAUGAUGGAGAAUCAGCCGCCCCUCACAUCACCGGGAUUAUAGAGCAGUAACUUUCUGGAGAUCAAUUAACACCCAGCAGCCAUCUUCACAGGACAUCACCCAUCACAGCGCCUCCACCUCACUGUCUGACAACAGAGGUAUUUAGAAGGACACGAGGAUCUCUACAAGGACGUCAUGAUGGAGAAUCAGCCGCCCCUCACAUCACCGGAUGGAUCCAGUAA